GAUGAACGCUGGCGGCGUGCCUAAUACAUGCAAGUCGAGCGAACGGACGAGAAGCUUGCUUCUCUGAUGUUAGCGGCGGACGGGUGAGUAACACGUGGAUAACCUACCUAUAAGACUGGGAUAACUUCGGGAAACCGUAGCUAAUACCGGAUAAUAUUUUGAACCGCAUGGUUCAAAAGUGAAAGACGGUCUUGCUGUCACUUAUAGAUGGAUCCGCGCUGCAUUAGCUAGUUGGUAAGGUAACGGCUUACCAAGGCAACGAUGCAUAGCCGACCUGAGAGGGUGAUCGGCCACACGGGAACUGAGACACGGUCCAGACUCCUACGGGAGGCAGCAGUAGGGAAUCUUCCGCAAUGGGCGAAAGCCUGACGGAGCAACGCCGCGUGAGUGAUGAAGGUCUUCGGAUCGUAAAACUCUGUUAUUAGGGAAGAACAUAUGCGUAAGUAACUGUGCACAUCUUGACGGUACCUAAUCAGAAAGCCACGGCUAACUACGUG
Molecule: ribosomal RNA, 497 nt
Filed under: uncultured bacterium
Lineage: Bacteria
Description: partial 16S ribosomal RNA
Rfam family: Bacterial small subunit ribosomal RNA
Source: RNAcentral